RNAcentral lists this transfer RNA (73 nucleotides) under Dendronephthya gigantea. Its description in RNAcentral is "tRNA-Tyr". It matches the Rfam family "tRNA". Rfam says of the family: Transfer RNA (tRNA) molecules are approximately 80 nucleotides in length. Lineage: Eukaryota; Metazoa; Cnidaria; Anthozoa; Malacalcyonacea; Nephtheidae. The record is from RNAcentral.
CCUUUGAUAGCUCAGUUGGUAGAGCGGGGGACUGUAGAUCCCUAGGUCACUGGUUGAAAUCCGGUUCGAAGGG